RNAcentral lists this ribosomal RNA (120 nucleotides) under Vitis vinifera (wine grape). The record is from RNAcentral. Lineage: Eukaryota; Viridiplantae; Streptophyta; Magnoliopsida; Vitales; Vitaceae.
GGAUGCGAUCAUACCAGCACUAAUGCACCAAAUUCCAUCAAAACUCCACAGGUAAACAUUGCUUGGGCGAAAGUAGUACUAGGGUGGGUGAUCUGCUAGGAAGUCUUCAUGUUGCACCUC